Molecule: ribosomal RNA, 987 nt
Filed under: human gut metagenome
Description: bacterial LSU rRNA
Rfam family: Bacterial large subunit ribosomal RNA
Source: RNAcentral
AUAACGGUCCUAAGGUAGCGAAAUUCCUUGUCGGGUAAGUUCCGACCCGCACGAAUGGUGUAACGAUCUGGGCACUGUCUCAACUACCCACCCGGCGAAAUUGUAGUACCGGUGAAGAUGCCGGUUACCUGCGGCAAGACGGAAAGACCCCAUGGAGCUUUACUGUAGCCUGAUAUUGGGUUUCGGAAAUCUAUGUACAGGAUAGGCGGGAGACUAGGAAACAUGAGCGUCAGCUUGUGUGGAGUCGAUGUUGGGAUACCGCCCUUAGGUUUCUGGAAUUCUAACCUGCGGCCGUGAAUCCGGUCGGGGGACAUUGUCAGGUGGGCAGUUUGACUGGGGCGGUCGCCUCCGAAAAGGUAACGGAGGCGCUCAAAGGUUAGCUCAGCACGGACGGAAACCGUGCCUCUGAGUGUAAACGCAAAAGCUAGCCUAACUGCGAGGGUGACGGCCCGAGCAGUAACGAAAGUUGGAGUUAGUGAUCCGGCGGUAUGUGAAUGGAAAUGCCGUCGCUCAACGGAUAAAAGCUACCCUGGGGAUAACAGGCUGAUCUCCCCCAAGAGUCCACAUCGACGGGGAGGUUUGGCACCUCGAUGUCGGCUCAUCGCAUCCUGGGGCUGUAUUCGGUCCCAAGGGUUUGGCUGUUCGCCAAUUAAAGCGGUACGCGAGCUGGGUUCAGAACGUCGUGAGACAGUUCGGUCCCUAUCUGUCGUGGGCGCAGGAUAUUUGAGGAGCUCUGUCCUUAGUACGAGAGGACCGGGAUGGACGUACCUCUGGUGCACCAGUUGUCACGCCAGUGGCACAGCUGGGCAGCUAUGUUCGGAUCGGAUAAACGCUGAAAGCAUCUAAGCGUGAAGCCGGCCUUAAGAUAAGAUAUCCCACUGAGAUAAUCAGGUAAGACCCCUUGAAGACUACAAGGUUGAUAGGCACAAUGUGUAAGUGGCGUGAGUCAUUGAGCAAGCGUGUACUAAUAGGUCGAGGGCUUGACCC